CGCCGCCACGGUAAUACGAAGGGUGCAAGCGUUACUCGGAAUUACUGGGCGUAAAGCGUGCGUAGGUGGUGGUUUAAGUCCGUUGUAAAAGCCCUGGGCUCAACCUGGGAAUUGCAGUGGAUACUGGGUCACUAGAGUGUGGUAGAGGAUAGUGGAAUUUCCGGUGUAGCAGUGAAAUGCGUAGAGAUCGGAAGGAACAUCUGUGGCGAAGGCGACUAUCUGGGCCAACACUGACACUGAGGCACGAAAGCGUGGGGAGCAAACAGGAUUAGAUACCCCUGUAGUCCCUGUCUCUUAUACA
Molecule: ribosomal RNA, 301 nt
Filed under: uncultured bacterium
Lineage: Bacteria
Description: partial 16S ribosomal RNA
Rfam family: Bacterial small subunit ribosomal RNA
Source: RNAcentral